Molecule: non-coding RNA, 632 nt
Organism: Cinara cedri
Lineage: Eukaryota; Metazoa; Arthropoda; Insecta; Hemiptera; Aphididae
Source: the annotation of a GenBank genome assembly
GGAAAAUCCAUUACCUCCCAAAGGUACCACCCUAGUCAGAUUUUCUUUCAAGUGCUAUACUUGAAAAUCGGUGCCAAAAUGCUGGUAGAAAAGUAAAGUUGUUUACAGAUGAAAAAAUGAUUUUCUGUGCGAGACCGAAAUCUGGUAACCUCUGAAAACUUUUAAAUUCUAUUUUUCAGCUUAAUGCGCUUUAUAACUUAUUAUAUUUUAUACAUAAAUAUACGUUUACUAAAUGGUGACAAAAUUAUUUGCCCCGGCAAUAUCUUGCAGGUGUAGGCAUAAUUUAAUAAUUAUUUUUAUAAAAAUAAAAUAUAAUUAGGUUCGUAUUUUGUCUUACCAUUUGUUUCUACAUUAUAUAACCCUACGAGACAUGCAAUAUUAUUACUCACCAUAUUUAUUGGUUGUUAAUCUAAUACGGUUUGAAAAUAAGUAAAAUUAAAAAUUAAGCCACAGUAGAAAUAAGGUUUUUUGAAGUGAGGUUAGGUUCCUAAGUAAAUAAGUAAUUACUCAGUAACAUGCCAAAGUAGGUUUUGUUGAGACGACUGUCUCAUGACAAAAAUGGGCGGGUGGCUGAUCAAAUAUGUUGAAUGUUGAUUAAGAUUGACUAGAUCAAAUACUUGAGAUGCCUUUAG